CCUACGGGUGGCAGCAGUGAGGAAUAUUGGUCAAUGGCCGUAAGGCUGAACCAGCCAAGUCGCGUGAAGGAAGAAGGAUCUAUGGUUUGUAAACUUCUUUUAUAGGGGAAUAAAGGUAUCCACGUGUGGAUAUUUGCAUGUACCCUAUGAAUAAGCAUCGGCUAACUCCGUGCCAGCAGCCGCGGUAAUACGGAGGAUGCGAGCGUUAUCCGGAUUUAUUGGGUUUAAAGGGUGCGUAGGUUGUUUUUUAAGUCAGCGGUGAAAGUUUGUGGCUCAACCAUAAAAUUGCCGUUGAAACUGGAAGACUUGAGUGUGUUUGAGGUAGGCGGAAUGCGUGGUGUAGCGGUGAAAUGCAUAGAUAUCACGCAGAACUCCGAUUGCGAAGGCAGCUUGCUGCAGCGGAACUGACGCUGAUGCUCGAAAGCGCGGGUAUCGAACAGGAUUAGAUACCCUGGUAGUC
Molecule: ribosomal RNA, 460 nt
Filed under: uncultured bacterium
Lineage: Bacteria
Description: partial 16S ribosomal RNA
Rfam family: Bacterial small subunit ribosomal RNA
Source: RNAcentral